UACGAAGGGGGCUAGCGUUGUUCGGAAUUACUGGGCGUAAAGCGCACGCAGGCGGAUUUAUAAGUCAGGGGUGAAAUCCCGGGGCUCAACCUCGGAAUUGCCUUUGAUACUGUCUAUCUUGAGUCCGGGAGAGGUGAGUUGAAUUCCUAGUGUAGAGGUGAAGUUCGUAGAUAUUAGGAAGAACACCAGUGGCGAAGGCGGCUCACUGGCCCGGUACUGACGCUCAUGUGCGAAAGCGUGGGGAGCAAACAGG
This 253-nucleotide ribosomal RNA is filed under the name uncultured bacterium. RNAcentral describes it as "partial 16S ribosomal RNA". It matches the Rfam family "Bacterial small subunit ribosomal RNA", at positions 524 to 776 of the family's 1533-position model. The record is from RNAcentral.